This 320-nucleotide long non-coding RNA is filed under the name Bos taurus (domestic cattle). Its description in RNAcentral is "long non-coding RNA NONBTAT007499". The record is from RNAcentral. Lineage: Eukaryota; Metazoa; Chordata; Mammalia; Artiodactyla; Bovidae.
CUUUCCUCCAUCCUCUUGAUCCAUCCCAUCAGGAAAGCCUCCUGGUCUGAGUGGCUUCUGUUCUGAGCCCACGCUCUCCCUCCCCUACCUAAGAUCAUGUUCCUCUUCGUAAUUUACAAACAGCUGGAGAAAGCUCUGUGACUCAGCACAGCUGCUGUGCGUCAGAGUCAUGGCUGCACGCGUCCAACCGCAUCUGAACUGAGAGAGCAGCCCUCUGUCAGCCUCAGAGGGGGCAACUGUGAUGCCUGUAUUUAUCCACCUCUUCAAGGGGAGGGACUGAAGGAGUGGAGUUCUGCUUUGUUUGGGGGAAGAGGACACAG